This 378-nucleotide ribosomal RNA is filed under the name uncultured bacterium. RNAcentral's name for it is "bacterial SSU rRNA". It matches the Rfam family "Bacterial small subunit ribosomal RNA", at positions 28 to 407 of the family's 1533-position model. The record is from RNAcentral.
AUUGAACGCUGGCGGCGUGCCUAACACAUGCAAGUCGAGCGGCAGCGCGGGAGCAAUCCUGGCGGCGAGCGGCGGACGGGUGAGUAAUGCUUGGGAAUCUGCCUGUUAGUGGGGGGACAACCCGGGGAAACUCGGGGCUAAUACCGCAUACGCACUACGGUGGAAAGCCGGGGACCGCAAGGCCUGGCGCUAACNGAUGAGCCCAAGUCGGAUUAGCUAGUUGGAGGUAACGGCCACCAAGGCGACGAUCCGUAACUGGUCUGAGAGGACGACCCAGUCACACCGGAACUGAGACACGGUCCGGACUCCUACGGGAGGCAGGCAGGUGGGGAAUAUUGGACAAUGGGGGAACCCUGAUCCAGCGACGCCGCGUGGGUG